RNAcentral lists this long non-coding RNA (4161 nucleotides) under Eucalyptus grandis. RNAcentral's name for it is "long non-coding RNA (EGRA_LNC006860)". Lineage: Eukaryota; Viridiplantae; Streptophyta; Magnoliopsida; Myrtales; Myrtaceae. The record is from RNAcentral.
CUCCGUCCAGCAGACCCACGGAGUGGGUUUCAGCGACUUCGGGCCCGCUUUUGGACCGUUUCCCGGCCCCGAACCCGAGCCGUGCUUUGGGAACAAUCGUUCCUCGCGUCGCCGCCGUCGGAUUGAUCCGAUUUGCGCGCGAUUUGGUGAGUAAUCUCACUAAUCUUGGAUUAGUUGGCUAAUUAUGCUUUAAGCUGGUUUAGAUUUAAUUAAUUAUGUUUAGGUUGUUAGAUUAGAAUAAAUUAGCAAUUAUUAGUUAAUUGUGAUGUGAUUUAGAUAAAUUGAUUGUGCAAUUAGCAAGUAGACGUGGUCUACUAAUUAUUGGAAGUGCUUCGGGAAUUUUCCCGACCCUUAGUGGGCUCCAAUUAGGCUUUUCGGGCCUAAGUGGAUUUUUUUGUAUUUAAAUAUUAAUUUUCGGAAUUAAAUUAAAUAAUUAUUUAUUUUCCGAAAAUUCAACUGAGAUGGUCUGGAACCGGAAUUUUAUGCUGAUGAUCGUGGUGCAGUCCAUUUAUUUAAUUGAGCUUUAUAUUGUGCUAAAUUGAAUUUAUUGUAUUUAUUUAUUUAUUUUCCGAAAUUAAUUAUUUAAUUAUUUAUUUCUCGGAAAUUCAACUGGGAUGGCCAGUGACCGGAAUUUUAUGCUGAUGACCGUGGUGAAGUCCGUUUAUUUAAUUGGGCUUUAUUCUGUGCUAAAUUGGAUUUUUAAUAAUUAUUAAUUAAUUUUCGAAAUUAAUUAAUUAAUUAUUUAUUUUUCGGAAAUUAAGAUUUUGAUGGCCGAUGACCGAAAUUUCGUGCUGAUUGUCGUGGUGCAGACCGUUUAUUUAUUUGAGCUCUACGUUGUGUGGAAUUGAAUUUAUUGUGGAAUUGUAGGAAUUGUCCUAAAUUGUUUGUUAUUGAAUAUUUGAUUGAUGGAUGGCUGAGUAUGGGUAUAUAGCGCCAGUACGUUGAUGGGCUAUAUAGUAGGGAGAAUGGUGAGAGCUAACUGAGAACAUUAUUGGUUGAGACCAAUCAGGUACGAUAUUAUUGGACAUACGUGGUUCGGUGAUUGAGAGUAUCACUGGCGAAAACGGCGCCUUAAAGAACGCACGUAAAUGACUUAUAGACAAACGUGGUUCGGUGGUUAUGGGAAUAUCACUGGUGAAAACGGCGCCUUAAAGAACGCACGAUGUUGUCUAUAGCCGAUGUCACCUGGCGAAAACGGCGCCCUUGAAAGGACACGUGGUUCGGUGAUCAAGGUUAUCACUGGUGAAAACGGCGCCUUAAAGAACGCACGGUGUCGGUGAUCGGUAUGUCAUUGGCGAAAACGACGCCCGAGAAACACAUGUGAUUUGGUGAAUGAGUACACCACUGGGAAAUCGUGGUAUGAGUGGGAAUGACCUAGAGGUGGUCCGAAUGACAUGUAAUCGACUAGGUCGAUUGAUCAUUGUUUUGAUCUAAUGUUGUGAAUUGAUUGAUUGAAUGGGAAUGACCGUGAGUGGUCUUGUUGGCAUGUAAUCGACUAAGUCGAUUGAUCAUUGUUUUGAUCUGAUGUUGUGAAUUGAUUGAUUGAAUGGGAAUGACCGUGAGUGGUCUUAUUGGCUUGUAAUCGACUAGGUCGAUUUGAUCGAUGCUUCGAUCGGUGAUAUGAUUGCUUGGGUGCCUAUUAUGAAUUGUACUAACUUGCAGGUGGGAUCUGAUGCCAAGGUACGUCUUCUGCCCUGUGCGUGUAUAGGCAGCCUAUAGUAUAGUGGUUUACUAAUCGGGCUUAGUGGGGUAGAACUCGCUGAGACGUAGUCUCAUCCCAGUUUGGGGAAAAACAUUUCAGGACCCGAUAAGGAGCUGAGGAGGAGAAGUCUUGGAAGGAGAUCUUAGAGGUGAAACUUGAAGGGAAGGAUUUUGAAAGAAGAAGAUAAUACCGAGAUGAGCCUUGAGUAUGGCCUGGAUGGAUUGAGAUCCUAUCUUCUUUUGAGAUCUCCAUUUUGAUGUGAAUAGUUAUGAAGUGAUUUGUGUUUUGUAUAAAAGUUUGGUUAUAAAUUUCAAUAUGAAAAAUAUGGCCCUGCCUUUCUAUCCCAUUGAUUUAUUGUCUGGGGAUUUUAACUGCUUCCGCAUGUGCUUAAUAAAUGAAAGGGUCGACGAUACUAGUCCUGGGAUAUCGCAUUAUAAAAUCGACCAAAUUAGAAGGAUGUGUGCGUACCCGAGGAUCGGGGCGUGACACCAUCGUCGGCCGUUUUCCUCCCUUGUUUUCUCCUCGUUUCAGUUUCUGCUCCAGCUGACCUUUCGCCAAAGAUUCGAGUUAAAAGUCGACUUCUCGGAUGAAUCAGCAAACUCUCCACCCACGUCCGUGACGAGGACAUCCACCCCGUUCCAGAGCAUCCCGCCGCUUGCCGGAACGAUUCUCCAGCCGUCCCGAAAUCUUGAGAGAAGCUGCCGCUCGCCGGACCGUCUGGUUCCGCCCUGCUCCGCCUGUUUUGCGUUUUCUUGCUGUUUCGCCCCUUUCCGACCCUUCCUUUGCCCAUCCCAACCUCCUAUAAGAUCCCCAAGACCCCCGGGAGCUGCCGGUUGCCAACCACCCACUUGCCGGAGCUCCGAUCAGCCCGUUUUCACCAUUGAAGUUGCUGGUUUCUUCUCUGCAGUUCAACCCAGAUCAGAAGCAGAAAACCAGAAAGCUGUGAGGUCUUCGAGGCCCGUUUUAGGUGUCUUCCCGGCCUUGGUUGAUGUCGCCGCCUUGAGGUUUAUCGCCCGCCUUGGCAUCGCCUUCACCGUGGACUCGCCGAAACGUUAAUCCGGUGAGUUUAUCCUCUAAUUCUUGCUUAGUGAGUUAAUGACGCUUAAGGGGUGUUUAGAUUAUUCUAAUUAGGUUUAGGUGGUUAGAUUAGAUUAUUUUAAUGUAGAUUAGAUUAGUUGUAUGAUUAGCUUAAUGGAUGUUUAAUUAGGGCUAAUUGUAUGAUUAAAUUAGUGUAAUCUUGUUUAAGCCCCAAUUAAUUAUUUUUAAUUAAUUAAUUAUUUCGAAUUUAUAAAUAUUAUCUUAUUAAAUUAUAUUAUUAUAAUAUAAUAUUUAAUUAUUUAAUUUUCGGAAUUAAAUUUAAUUAUUUAAUAAUUUCGAAAAUUAUGCCGGGAUGGCCGGUCGUUAGAAUUUCGCGCUGAUCGCAGCAGUGUGGUCGGUUUGUGUUAAUUGUAUGUUUAAAUUGAGAAAUUGAGUGAUUGAUGAUUAUGGUUAAUUAUUCCAAAAGUGUGGAAUGGAGUGAUAUUGAUGAAGUUGUGGUAUUUAACUUGAAAAUACCUGGUGUUGGCUUUUAGCACCGUAAUUGGUUUGUAUGACCAGUUUGAAUCGAUUGGAUUGAUUGAUUGAUUGAAUUAAGGUAUGAGUUGGUUUAUUAUUGAAUUAUCAGCUUUGGCGAGCAAUUGGUUUAUACAUGUAUCAGCUUGUGUGAGCAUCAUUGUCAGCUUGUGUGAGCAUUCUAUGUUAGCUUAUGAGAGCAAUGAUCAUUUAUCAGCUUGUGAGAGCAACGAUUGUUUAUCAGCUUGUGAGAGCAACGAUCCAUAUAUCAGCUUGUGCGAGCUAUCAUCUAUGUAUAUAUUAGCUUGUGUGAGCUACCAUCUAUAUCAGCUUGUGAGAGCAUUGCAUCCAUUUUAGCUUGUGCGAGCCGUAAUUGUAUUGAUGGAUGAAUAGAUGGUAUGGUUUAAUAGAUGAUAUGAAUUGAUAGAUGUGUGGAUCGUAUGAUAUCAAUUGGAUAUACUGAAUUGAUAGACCGAUGGGUAUGUCAGUAGUUUCAGCUUGUGCGAGUAUUGUUGAAUAUGAAUUGUACUGACGUGCAGGAAAGAGACUGAGGCGAGAUAAGCCUCUAUCCUAUUCGUGUGGCUAGAGCGCCUUGAGGCGUAUUUUCUUCCUAAUUGAGUUUUAGAGGGUAGGACUCGCUGAGACGUAGUCUCAUCUCGGUUGUGGGAUAAUAGUUCAGGUCCCUAGAUGACGGUCGUGGAGGACCGGAAGUCCUGGAGUUCGGAAGGUGGACGUUGAAGAAUCGGCGAAUGUGUCUGACAAGUUGGUCAUAGGACAGUUCCCUAGUUGUUGAGCCUAUCUAUUUUGUAGACAAUCCGGUGUUGUAUAUAAACCUAUGUGUUUAUAAGAAAGCUUGUUUGGUUGUGAUUGAUUGCCUGCUUUUUCUAUCCCAAGUUAAAUGUUGUCAG